This is a non-coding RNA of Phascolarctos cinereus (koala), 611 nucleotides long. The record is from RefSeq and is a predicted model, not a curated record. NCBI's taxonomy places the organism in Eukaryota, Metazoa, Chordata, Mammalia, Diprotodontia, Phascolarctidae.
AUUCUCAAUCAGCCAUCAUGCCAGAGAGGAAAAUUAUCCACCUGAUUGAAGAUAAAAGAGGCAUUGGCAGAGCAUCUGUGGUCUCUUUGUCUUGGCCCCAACCUCACAAUCUGACAUGACUAACGAUGAUCCCAUAAAAGUCACCUCAUGCCAUGGGAUCAUUCAGAUGAUAAAAACUGAGUGAGCAUAAUGUCACUUAUGGACUCUCCUACACCAGAAAGUGUAUAUGUGCCUGAAAGAGAGGACAAGUAAAUUAUUCAACCACAUGAGCAUCCAACGGAAUGAAAUGCACAGGGUAAACCAACAGUACUUUUUCACAGCUGUGGAGGCGAACUUGGUUUUUAGUAAUAAGAAAAAAAUUUGUCGAAAUGAAGCGGGACCAGCUCCAGUAAGAAAACCUAGGCAGCUUUUUCUUUUGAGAAGUGAAUUGUCAAGACCGUCUGCUUACUUUUCUGGGGAAGAAGAAUGGACUAUGGGGAAUACGGAGAGGAAGAUGCAAAGUAAGAACAAAAAGAGUCUACAACCAAUCCUGGACAGUAGGUAUUAAGUCAGUUGUUAACAUGAGUGACAUUGAUUUUAUUCAAAUGGUAUAUUGUUUGAACAUUCAGAAA